Molecule: ribosomal RNA, 468 nt
Filed under: uncultured bacterium
Lineage: Bacteria
Description: partial 16S ribosomal RNA
Rfam family: Bacterial small subunit ribosomal RNA
Source: RNAcentral
GACGAACGCUGGCGGCGUGCUUAACACAUGCAAGUCGAACGGAAAGGCCCUGCUUUUGUGGGGUGCUCGAGUGGCGAACGGGUGAGUAACACGUGAGUAACCUGCCCUUGACUUUGGGAUAACUUCAGGAAACUGGGGCUAAUACCGGAUAGGAGCUCCUGCUGCAUGGUGGGGGUUGGAAAGUUUCGGCGGUUGGGGAUGGACUCGCGGCUUAUCAGCUUGUUGGUGGGGUAGUGGCUUACCAAGGCUUUGACGGGUAGCCGGCCUGAGGGGGUGACCGGCCACAUUGGGACUGGGAUACGGCCCAGACUCCUACGGGAGGCAGCAGUGGAGAAUAUUGCACAAUGGGCGGAAGCCUGAUGCAGCAACGCCGCGUGCGGGAUGACGGCCUUCGGGUUGUAAACCGCUUUCGCCUGUGACGAAGCGUGAGUGACGGUAAUGGGUAAAGAAGCACCGGCUAACUACGUG